AUACGGAGGUUGCAAGCGUUAUUCGGAAUCACUGGGCGUAAAGGGUGCGUAGGCGGUUUGAUAAGUCUGAUGUGAAAUCCUAUGGCUCAACCAUAGAACUGCAUUGGAAACUGUCAGACUAGAAUACUGAAGGGGCAGAUGGAAUUAGUGGUGUAGGGGUAAAAUCCGUAGAUAUCACUAGGAAUACCGAAAGCGAAAGCGAUCUGCUGGGAAGUUAUUGACGCUGAGGCACGAAAGCGUGGGGAGCAAGCGGGAUUAGAUACCCUAGUAGUCC
Molecule: ribosomal RNA, 274 nt
Filed under: uncultured bacterium
Lineage: Bacteria
Description: partial 16S ribosomal RNA
Rfam family: Bacterial small subunit ribosomal RNA
Source: RNAcentral